Molecule: ribosomal RNA, 497 nt
Filed under: uncultured bacterium
Lineage: Bacteria
Description: partial 16S ribosomal RNA
Rfam family: Bacterial small subunit ribosomal RNA
Source: RNAcentral
GACGAACGCUGGCGGCGUGCCUAAUACAUGCAAGUUGAGCGCUGAAGGUUGGUACUUGUACCAACUGGAUGAGCAGCGAACGGGUGAGUAACGCGUGGGGAAUCUGCCUUUGAGCGGGGGACAACAUUUGGAAACGAAUGCUAAUACCGCAUAAAAACUUUAAACACAAGUUUUAAGUUUGAAAGAUGCAAUUGCAUCACUCAAAGAUGAUCCCGCGUUGUAUUAGCUAGUUGGUGAGGUAAAGGCUCACCAAGGCGAGGAUACAUAGCCGCACUGGGAGGGUGAUCGGCCACAUUGGGACUGUGACAGGCCCCAAACUCAUACAGGAGGCGGCAGUAGGGCAACUUCGGCCAGCAGCGAGAGUCUGACCGAGAAACGCCGAGUGAGUGAAGAGGGUUUUCGGGUCGUAAAACUCUGUUGGUAGAGAAGAACGUUGGUGAGAGUGGAAAGAUCAUCAAGUGACGGUAACUACCCAGAAAGGGACGGCUAACUACGUG